This is a non-coding RNA of Misgurnus anguillicaudatus (oriental weatherfish), 1613 nucleotides long. Lineage: Eukaryota; Metazoa; Chordata; Actinopteri; Cypriniformes; Cobitidae. The record is from RefSeq and is a predicted model, not a curated record.
GAAAAGGUAAAUGAGUGAAAAAUGGAAAGGAGAAAAAAGGGAGGGGAGAGUGAGAGAGCUCCCCGAGAGCUGUGUCCGACUCGUAUGAAGGCCUCGCUGCCUCUCAGCCCCAUUCAACCAAUGCCGCCACUUGUCACAUCAAACGGCGUUGCCGUAGCGACAGCUCCACAUGUUGCUGAUGGUGAAAUGGUGGGGUGAGGGGUGGCAGUGAUGCCCUGGAUAGGCUGUCCAUGAGAGAGAGAGAGAGAGAGAGAGAGAGAGAGAGAGAAAACAGGCCCAAUGCAACAGGAGCAGGAGGGGGUACAACGAAUGGGGUGUAAGAAAAGUGCCACGGGCCCAAAAAAGGUUUGUAAGUAAUAUGGUUUGGCAAGGACAUAAAUCCUGAGCUUUCACAUCUGGAAUAAUCGCAGCACAGAAGAUAUAUGAGAAUGCAGAGACCACGGAGAAUAUGCGAAAUGAUUUAUAUCUGCGGAUGAUUUAUAGAAUAAUAAGUGUUUGGUGUGAUGAUGAAUAAAGUUUAUGAGUUUAUGUUCGUUACUUUAAAGCCUUAAAACAUAAUUUAGCAUACGAUGUCCCACAGAACAUACACGUCCGAGCACGCAUUUCCAAAAGUAUCGCCAUCAAUCUCAGCGGGAGCACCAAAAGGACACUGCUGUGUAUGUCGCCGUGGGAGGGAAAAACUUGAAUUCAUUAUAGAAAGCAAAGAAAGAGACUGACAAACGGAGAAAAGUGAGAAAAAACUGCCUGUGCAGAAAAGCAUUUGUCCCCCCGAUACAAGAGGGACAAAAACGGUCAGGUGCAAGCAGGUCUCAUUACCAAGGCAGGGAGAGAAAAUUAUAAGAUAAAGGAUAGGGACGCACACACGCACCCUCGCUCGCGCAUACGCCGUGCACUUCAGAGCAUAGAAAGUGUCACGCCCCACAAUGGCACAAGAAAGAAUAAUUAAAAAUAUGAGCAGCCGGAUGCAACAAAAGACAUUAUUCUGCAUUCAAGGGCCCGCAACAGCUGUACAAAGUGAAAAGGGAGCCGGCGAGGGAGAGCGCUACGCCUCAAUAUGCGCCGAGCACAAAAGCCACCCAAGAAAGUGGGGGAGAAAGGAACGGGGAGGGGUCAAAAACAGAGGCAACAAAAAGAGAAGGGCCCAAAGAAUGGCAACGAGGAGAAUGGCAUGAGACACAGAGAGAAAGAAUGAGUCAGGGAGAGAAAUGAGGCGCAGCGGGGGGGAAAUACGCUGAGGAUUUGAGACGGGACAACCGUACAGUAGGGACAGUUAAGAGAUGAACGGUGAAGAUUUCGGGGAAAAAAAAAACGUUUGGUUUGAAAUGCCCUCCUUGUUCGGCGCGGCGUUUAACGCCAAAGUGAUUCAUGAGAACGACGAAUUACAUCACGGACACACAGGAAGAAACAGAGAGAAACAGAAAGAGAGAGACGCUUACCUCCCCAACUCCAGUCUGGAUGAUUUUCAAACCCGUCUCUCCCUCUAGGAAAUUCUUCUCGGCUACUGCAACGGCAAAACACUGAGUUAACGGCCCGAGUCGGGGGCUUGUCACUCACCUGCUUUACUGGCCACAUCCUCAGCGCUGAGAUUGAGAGCGUUCUGUCUGAUCCUGAAU